UGGGGAAUAUUGCACAAUGGGGGAAACCCUGAUGCAGCAACGCCGCGUGAGUGAUGACGGUCUUCGGAUUGUAAAGCUCUGUCUUCAGGGACGAUAAUGACGGUACCUGAGGAGGAAGCCACGGCUAACUACGUGCCAGCAGCCGCGGUAAUACGUAGGUGGCAAGCGUUGUCCGGAUUUACUGGGCGUAAAGGGAGCGUAGGUGGAUAUUUAAGUGGGAUGUGAAAUACUCGGGCUUAACCUGGGUGCUGCAUUCCAAACUGGAUAUCUAGAGUGCAGGAGAGGAAAGUAGAAUUCCUAGUGUAGCGGUGAAAUGCGUAGAGAUUAGGAAGAAUACCAGUGGCGAAGGCGACUUUCUGGACUGUAACUGACACUGAGGCUCGAAAGCGUGGGGAGCAAA
This 400-nucleotide ribosomal RNA is filed under the name uncultured bacterium. Its description in RNAcentral is "bacterial SSU rRNA". It matches the Rfam family "Bacterial small subunit ribosomal RNA", at positions 355 to 772 of the family's 1533-position model. The record is from RNAcentral.